UAAUUGAAGAGUUUGAUCAUGGCUCAGAUUGAACGCUGGCGGCAGGCCUAACACAUGCAAGUCGAGCGGC
RNAcentral lists this ribosomal RNA (70 nucleotides) under Vibrio cholerae. Its description in RNAcentral is "partial 16S ribosomal RNA". It matches the Rfam family "Bacterial small subunit ribosomal RNA", at positions 1 to 70 of the family's 1533-position model. RNAcentral also lists the same sequence under 12 other names. The record is from RNAcentral. Lineage: Bacteria; Pseudomonadati; Pseudomonadota; Gammaproteobacteria; Vibrionales; Vibrionaceae.